UUGGUUUUGGUAAUUUCACGCCAGCUGGCCCAUAUGUCGGUCUCUUUCCAGUCAUAAGACAAAUAAUCGACUUGAGUUAGAGCAUUUUUCCGAAUAUCAUUAUCGUCGGCUCCAGUAGUAAGAAGUUGUAGCCUAAGAUAAGGGGUGAUGUGAGGGUCGAGCGGCCGCUCAUUAUCUGGAGCAGCUGGCUUGUAGAAUGCAUUCGAUGAAGCACUGAUGGAAGUAGAAGGUAGGCUAGAGGGUUUGAAUGCUGCAUCAGCAUCGUCUUCAGGGGAUGAGACAAUUGGAGAAGUUUCUUCAUGAGUAUUCUUUGUCUGAGAACGAUCGCUAUCUUUCAAUGGCUGAAACGAAGGUGAAGAGGUAAAGUACCAGGUUGUAUCGUCAGCAUCCACGUCCUUAGUAGGCCUAGGAGAAGCCAAUCCAUCCUUACUGACAGCAGACGAAGAGGCACCACGAUGAUUAUCGAAAAAAUCGUAAGAUAAAUACGUUUCAUUAAGAGAGUAAGAAUUUUGAUGAGAAUUAGUGUAUGCAGGGUUUAUGUGGAUUGGAACACUACUUUGUUGCCCCACGGCAUCAAAUACGGAGGAGUCUUUGGAAAAUGGAAUCGCUGUGGAGUAAGUAUCAUUGUUAGAGUGAUUCAUGCCAUCCAAUUGCAUGCGCCUGGAAGGAAAGUCUGAUAUAUGAUUAUGUUGGGUGUCCUGUUCUGAAAUAGGAUAAUUGGAGUUCUCAGUCAUUAGAGAUUCAUUUCCUUUGCGAAAGGGGAAAUACAAAUCGUUCAUGUUGUCACUAAACUCCCCAUUUGGCAACUGAUAAGUCUGAAAUUCAUCGUUGACAGAGUUCACCGAAUCAUUAAAGGAGGGUGAGCUAUAAUUUCGACGCAAAAACGGCUUUUCUUUACUCAUACUCAUCCGGGAGAUAGUCUCCUUCACCAUACAUUGAUCAUUGGCAUCAGGUUUGUUAGACAUGCAAACAAAUUACCAACACAAUUCGUGAUGGCUAACUCCCUAAAUGCAACAAUUGUAUCCAGGACGUAGAUGUUUCAAGUUUCCAAUAUAAUUAUAGCUUUGAUAAAUAGCUAUACAGCAAUUCUCAAUACGGAUUGUCGUUACCACAAAAAUAGUUGUUAUUGGCAGCAAUUAGAAAAAAUGUGAGCGACUCUUACUUAUACCCCUCUCAUCCGAGGAAGGGUGUUGUAUUAUUUUGUACUUUUAGAAAUAGUGAAUGUUGCUGUGUUUGGCCGAGAUACAAAGUACUUCGUUCACUGAUGCAACAACCUCGUUAAUGACUGGAAGAUGAUCUGGGGGAAAUGGAUAUGUACUUUACAAAGGAACUGGAGGAAAAGUGGGGAAGGUAUAGAAGGACUGACAACCAAAAAGUCAAUUGCAAUAACGUGACUACUGUUGUUUCAAGGGGAUCUUUGAAAAAUAGCCCCUAAUAAACAAUGAAAGAGUAAUAGAACAAAGCUAAAUUUUUUUAACGUACUGUAAAAACUCGUACGAACGUAAAGUUAUUAUUUACUAUUUCUCAACUUUUUUAACUUUUUAAUGAGGGCAACUUUACUAACAAAAAAUCAACGAAUUAGAACGUGUUGCGUUGUGUACAUAGCGAGAGUUAAAGAAACGACUUUUUGUUUGAAAGAGCUGGGCAUAGCUGGGGAAUCAAGAUUUAAGGUAUGUAAACAUUCAUGCCUUGCUAAGAGUGGUUGGUUGAGUUUAAAGAAAGUAAGCAAACACUUGUUGAUGAAUUGUGGAGGAGUUUUCUUGCUUAGAAAAAUAAUAAAAAUAAAAAAGAUAUGAGUUUGUAUGGAUCAGCUGGUACUGGAGUUUUGAUUAUUACUUGAAGAGCGCUUUUUUUUUAAACCGGUUUGGGCUUAACAUAUGUGUUUGGAACUUGAAACAAAAAUAGAUUAAUAGUUUCUUCUGAAAAAAAAAUUCUGGAGGUCCUUUAUUGCUUUAGCAAAGAUAAAGCACAUAAAGCUUCAUUGAACCACUUAGAUAACCAUUUUUGAACAUAAACUUUUGACGGAUUUAGAUACUAUAUCAACAAAAGAACAAGAAAUAAUUGACAAUGCUUUUUUGAUUUAAGCCAUCUUGCAGUUAGAUGAGGGGUACAUGUGAAUGAUGGUUUGUGCAUUGAUGGAGUACCACAGAGUAGAAAUUUACUUGAUUAGUAUUGAAUAUACUUUUGAAGUUAUCCAAACCGAAGGAUUUGAUGCAUCAGAAACAAUAGCAAAGUAACUUCGAUAAAGUACUCUCAAAUUUAGUGGCAUAUAUGUGUGCUUCC
This 2283-nucleotide long non-coding RNA is filed under the name Schizosaccharomyces pombe (fission yeast). Lineage: Eukaryota; Fungi; Ascomycota; Schizosaccharomycetes; Schizosaccharomycetales; Schizosaccharomycetaceae. The record is from RNAcentral.